This is a long non-coding RNA of Poecilia latipinna (sailfin molly), 329 nucleotides long. RefSeq lists it as uncharacterized. Lineage: Eukaryota; Metazoa; Chordata; Actinopteri; Cyprinodontiformes; Poeciliidae. The record is from RefSeq and is a predicted model, not a curated record. The transcript is spliced from 3 exons.
UUAGAUGUGGGAGGAGUCGGCUCCGGCACCUACAAGUUCGCUUCACAAAGGAGCAAAGAGGAUCGCUACACUUUCAGCAUACACAGUGUCACCUGCAAACGUUAUGGAUUUAUAUUAUCAACCACACCUCCCUUAAGCUUUAAAUUCAAAAAUCAGUUGGACAUCCUGCCAAGUCACUACAACUACUCCACAAAGAAUGACUACGAAGAGUUCAUACAGACCUAUGGCACACACUAUUUCAGACUGGUUCAUCUUGGAGGGCGACUGAGACGAAUGACAUCUUCACGAAGCUGCUUGUCCUCCCUGAAUGGAUUAACCUCAAGUGAGGU